Poecilia latipinna (sailfin molly) is the source of this 1659-nucleotide long non-coding RNA. RefSeq lists it as uncharacterized. The record is from RefSeq and is a predicted model, not a curated record. NCBI's taxonomy places the organism in Eukaryota, Metazoa, Chordata, Actinopteri, Cyprinodontiformes, Poeciliidae. The transcript has 3 exons.
UUCAGUUCUGGCUCAGAGUCCGGACCAGACCGGGCCGGACCUGGAGCCAUGAUGCUACCAGGCUCAUCUGCUGAACAGUAACAUGUGAAUCAUGUUACUGCUAAAGCUAAAGCUGCUGUUUGAGUCGCUCUGAUGUGUCUCAGUGUGAAUGAGAUCAACCCACAGAAACAGCCAGCAGCUCGUCAGCGGCUGUCUGACCUGCUCACACGGAGAAAGAGGAAAAACAUCCAAAUUACAGCUUCGGUUUCAAGAAAGGGAUCUAAUGAACUCACAGACAGCUCAACAUUAACAACACGCACAAGAAAGCAACGUAGAUUCAUUGUAAACACCACUAAUCUAAGCUGUUACAUCUGGGCUUCUCUAAUGAACAUUCAGUUAUUAAAAAUGAGAAUUGAUGGAAAGUUAAUGCAGCCUGACGAGUUCAAAGGUUAAAAAAUGCUAAAAGGAAUGAAAACUGGAAAACAGUUACAAAGCUUUCAACAGCAGAUAAUAUAAAAUGUCUGCAGAUUGUUUGGUACCAAGAGAAAAAGUUAGUUUUUUAAAUUUACUCCUUUUGACACAUAAAUGAUCUUUUGGUGCUCAGUGAAACUUUCUAGUCUAAAUUAAACAUUUCAUAGUUCUGAAAUAAAAACAACCAGACAUCUCAGAAGUUAAUCUGCAGAGAACAUGAGUCUGCAGAGCAUGACCUGCAGCCAAGGGGGCGUGGCCUGCAGCCAAGGGGGCGUGGCCUGCAGCCAAGGGGGGCGUGGCCUGCAGCCAAGGCGGGCAUGGCCUGCAGCCAAGGCGGGCAUGGCCUGCAGCCAAGGGGGCGUGACCUGCAGCCAAGGGGGCGUGGCCUGCAGCCAAGGGGGGCGUGGCCUGCAGCCAAGGCGGGCAUGACCUGCAGCCAGGGGGGCGUGGCCUGCAGCCAAGGGGGGCGUGGCCUGCAGCCAAGGGGGCAUGGCCUGCAGCCAAGGGGGCCUGACCUACAGCCAGGGGGGCGUGGCCUGCAGCCAAGGGGGCAUGACCUACAGCCAAGGGGGGCGUGGCCUGCAGCCAAGGGGGCAUUGCCUGCAGCCAAGGGGGGCGUGGCCUGCAGCCAAGGGGGCAUGGCCUGCAGCCAAGGGGGCAUGACCUACAGCCAAGGGGGGCGUGGCCUGCAGCCAAGGGGGCAUGGCCUGCAGCCAAGGGGGCAUGACCUACAGCCAAGGGGGGCGUGGCCUGCGCAGUCAAGGUUUUAUAAGUUGAAAGAUGUUUUGAAUUGUCUCUGGAUUUUCAUUUCUAACUGGAAUGUGAAAUUAAUUUGUUCUUGAAUCAGAAUCAUAAAAGCGUCGCUCUACCUGUUAUUUAUGAAAGAAAUAUUUCUCCAAAUGUGCUGAAUUGCCGCAGUGAUGUAAGACUGUUUACCUGAAGCUUUUUAGAGGCUGACCUUCAGAGCGUUAGCCGCACAAAGCGAAGCAGAACAACUGAACUGUGAAGGACUUUGGUUAACGUCAGGAGCUCUGACAGGCGUUUCAGAAAUCAAUCUGAGAGCAGAAACAAAACGAGUGGAAUCCAUUUGUUCUGAAUCAAAAUGAAAAUAUUACAACAAACUCAGUAGAAUCUAGGAGUUAAAUUACAUAUGAAGAAGUUUUAAUCUGUUUGCUAACUGUACUUUCUGAUAAUCUUUCUGCAACACUU